Long non-coding RNA from Mustela erminea (ermine), 5946 nucleotides. RefSeq lists it as uncharacterized. Lineage: Eukaryota; Metazoa; Chordata; Mammalia; Carnivora; Mustelidae. The record is from RefSeq and is a predicted model, not a curated record. The transcript has 3 exons.
GCUGCUCGGCCUGCUCGGGCGCCCUCCCGGUCCUGCCCUCAACGCAGGGUGUCCGCAGCCUCCGAGGCGUGGGGGGGAGCCCCAGGCCUGGGCCACUGGGCCAGCCUGUGGUUGGCAGGGGAGCAGUGAGCUCUCCAACCCUGGAGGCAUACAAGCCGAUACAGGACUGAGGGCCCGGGAUGCUGGCAAGGGCUCUGCCUGGAAGGAAGCCAGCACUCACGGGUCCUCUGUGCAAGGCAGCCACGGCUGUGGUUGGCCCGCUCUGUGACUGAGGAUACGGAGGCCCCGGGAAGGUCAUCCCACAGCCUCCCGCCUGAGCAGGUAGCUUCUGAGCACAGAUGACACCACGAAGCCCUCAGUCGGGGGGUGUGAGGGCAGCUCACUAGAACUGUGCAGCCCAGGUGGCCGUCCUCCUGCAGACCCCAAAGCCAGCGAGGUGCCCGGUCCAGGACGGGGAGGACACCAGCCUCACCGGCAAGCAGCCCCCCAGGCGUCUGCCGCGGUCCAGAAGGGCCCGAGUCAGCAUCCUCUCGCAGUCCCAUCCCGAUAAGACUGGGGGCCGCCAGCCCUUUCCAGACCUCAGCCCCUCCAAGGCCACCCCUGUUCCAGACCCUCCUCCACGGCCUCCCAGACCAGAGGUGCUCCUUGUGCAGGAGUCCGGGCACGUGCCCAGCGGGAGCCGCGAAUGAGCAGGACCCCAGAGGGAGGGAGCCUUGGGACAAGGGUGGGCGAUGUCUCAGCUUGCCCCCUCCCGAAGCAGGCCUAGGGGCUGCGGGGGUGUGAGGGGUCCAGAGCUGAGACUUAGGCCCUCACUGUCCCAAGUGGCAAAGGGGUGAAAAGCACUUUUGAACCAGAGUUCGUUCAGAAGAAAUUGCCUGCCCACAGGACAGACCCCUGACCCAGGGAGCGGGGAGGGAGCCCAGGGUUCCACUUCUGGAAAACUCAGGUCUCUUGGAGAGACCUUCUGUCACGGGGCUGAUGGGCGCCCACCAGCUGGGCUCUGCUCUGACUUUGUUUCCCCCCAGCUGCCAGAAAAGGGGAGCUAAGCAAGGGGCACCCACGUGGGGGGUGGCAAGGUGAGGCGCGCGAGGGGCAGAGUGCUGGGGACUCCUGAGGUCACGCUCAAGGUGGAGCCCAGGCCUGUCUGCCUUCUCAUCUGCUGUCUGCGAGAGACCGAUCACACCUGUGCCUUACAGCUGCCGAGUGACCAGGAGUCAUGAGGCUCUGAUCGAGGGCUCACUCUGUCUCUCUCUGUCUCUCUCUCUCUUCCCCGCCCCCACCUCCACAUCUUUACACUUGGAACCAGAGGGACACCUGUCCCUCCAGGUGUGUGAGGGGACCAAAAGGCCCUCAGAUUUCUGCUCCCGGGUCCCUUCCUGCCUUGGGCCCCAACCCAAGGGGCUCUGAGACUGGCUUGAGCAGGGAGAGAGGAGGUGGUCCAGACUGGGCAGCUCCUGACCUUCAAACUGGGGCCGGCAGGUGCAUAGUUGCCGCGUACCAUGGACUUGUGGCAAGCCUCCCCUUUUCUGGCUGAAGCUGUCCCCGUGGGUGGUGGUCUCGGUGCCUCAGAGCCCUUCUGUCCUCGCCUCCCCUUCCUGCCAGGCCUCGUCACUACUCAGGGCUUGCCCUUCUCAGCGACAGCAGCCCUGAGCCAGGCAAACGAAGCCGCCCGUGUAUGGGGCUGUAACUGGGAAGCUUCCCUCCUUCCCCAUCAUGUACGCAAAGCCCCGUGGGGUCCUAGAGAGCAGGAGAUCCUGGGAGACCUUCUACUGACCCGGGCCCUGAAGAAUGUGCUGGGGACAGUGGAGUUCUUGGCCAAGGGACAGCCGUGGGGCGGGGAGGGGGCACUGGGAGCGGGCGUCGGCCCCUCAGAGUUGGCUGGGGCCGUGGGAGGCGAGGUCAGGGUGGCAGAGGGCAGCCCCAGGCCCAGGGAGCCCUGGGGGAGCAAGUGUCAAGCAGGACAGGGGUGGGCAGCUUCACCCCGAGCUAAGGGAGGCCCCUGGGUGUGACAGGGACAGGUUUCCCCGAGGCAGGGCCCACAGGGUGGACGGGGGCUGAUUGGGGCAGACGGGCGCUGUGAGCACACUCGGAGGCCGGGCCAGUGGUAGUAGCUGCAAGUAGCCCUCCGGGCCCUGUCCCCCGCCCCCACCAUCUAGCACCCAGUGCAGCUCGAAGUUCAUGCUGAGUUAGGGCCCAGUCAACCCUCUCUGGGACGGUCAGAUGGCGGCUUCUGCCUCUGGGUCCCAGCGAGGCCCGUCGGCCUAGUCAGGACCCACUUGCCCAGGGGAUGGCCCCCAGUGUGCAGCCCCCCGUGCAUGUGAGUGGCCACAGGGGUGGUCUGGGGGGCUGGGUGCCUUCCUGGCUCCUUGACUUAGGUCUCCUCAUGGUGACUUCUCCGCUGGCAGGAGUACUGGGAAUUUCCAGGUGCUGCUGGCCGCCCCCCCACCUUGGAGGAGUCCACGUCUGUCCCAGGGACCAUCCACCUGUGUCAGGAACCACAAGGCCAGGAGUGCACUUGCUGGGGGCGUCCUCCCUGUGGUCCAGCGCCUGCCGCCUCCUGCCCGCCCCCACCCCCAUCCAGGGACCUGGGCCACAGGUUGUUUGCCAGUCCCUUCUGGAGGGGAGGGAGAGCCCAGGGUUGCAGGCGAGUCUGAGUGUGAGCCCAGAGCCACCCCUGGCUCCCUCUCACUGCCUUUCUUCCAGAGCUGGACAUUCCUGCAGGGGGAGGAGGAGAAGAGGGGAGGUUGAGGGGAAACAGGUCCUUAGGGCCUGGGGCAGAGAGCCCAGAAGUGGAGAGAAAAGCUGCAGGGCUGGGUCCUGCUCCUGGCGCUGAUGUAAAAUCCCUGCCAGGUGUCUGUGUGGCCUUGGAUGAGAGCUGGAAGCUGGUUGCGGAAGGCAGGGGUGGUGCUCAGGACUCCGGGCCACUCAGGGCAUGGGGUGGGAGGGGGAUUGCUAAGCCCAGGGAGGGGCUCUGAAGGUGCAAGCCCCAUCAUGCGGGCCGCCACAGCCGCCUGAUGAGGGGGGAGUGGACUACUCCUUGGUGGGGGGGGAGUGAGCACCCUGUGCCGUAAAGCAUCCAAGCCGAGGCAGUGGGCUGGGGUUCCCCGAUGGUCCAGAAAUUCUCAGAGGGAGCAGCAGCGUGCUUAAAAAGUGAGGUGAGUGCUGAAGGAGCCUUGCCCGGGGUGCUCUGGCCCAGAGGAACCGCCAGGUUUGGUGAGAGCAGGGGGCAGGGCCAUAGAACUGGGGACAGCCUGGGUGGGGCUGGGCUCUGCUCUAAGGGGUCCUGUGGCCCAGAUAGGCCCCCACCUCCAACCGCUCCCAGAAGCCCCCCACCCCCCAGGAUGUCGCCCGAGGCCGGGUCUCAGGACCAGGAGCUCGGCCCUGCCCCGCAUUCUGCACAGAGGUGACAGCCCAGUGUCCCCUGCCUACAGGGACAAAGGCCCCUGAACCCACUGCUCAGACCAGCCCAGAAGGCUGAGGUGCUGGCCGACCCAUCAGGUGCCUAGACUCCCGGCCUGGCCCUGGGCCAGAUGCCCUGCCAGCUUCCUCCCACCUGUCCCCCUCACCUGUCUGUCCCUCCAUCAGUCCUGUGGUUUCAGGUUGACCUCCUGGUCUCCCAGGCCUGCAGGGUGCCCUGGUGUCUGACAGAGCUGCGGCAUUGGGGUCUAGGCCAAGACCAAGGCUAGGGGUCUCACCCUGCUCAGGUCUCAGCUCACUAUGCGGGCUCAGCUGCCAUGAGCCUCAGGGUUUCAGUGUCCCCUCUCCCCCAACCCCCCGUACCACGGGAAUUGAGGAGAAAGAUGAGGGGUGAAGCCUGGGAAGGUCCAGAAUAUAGCAGAAAGUGCAGGAAGUAGGUCCAUUGCCUGAACCUCAGCCCCCAGCAGCCUCCUCUGGAGGCCAGCUUAGGUGUGACCAUGAGCGGACGGAGGACAGAAGGCAGACCAGUGGCAGGCUUCUCGGAGGAAGAGGCAUCAAACUGGGCCUGGAAUCUUGCCAGACUGCUGGAGGGGUCUGGGCACCUCUUGCCUUGCCGGUCAGUGUGGCCUGAACCCGGAGGGUCAUGUUGGGUCCUGGUUGCCCAACAGAGGUCUGGAAGUUUCUGAGGUCAGAAGUCAAUGACCCAUUGUGGUCACAGUGAGGGGACGAGGUUCUGAUUUCACUGACUUAACAGAUGUGGGGGCUGGAUGGACCCUCCGGGCCCGGGGCCGCCUCAUCUGUGGCUCCCUGUGCCCCUGGUUGUGCUUGUCCCCCUCUAGCAACCUCAGCCCUGCCCGAGACCCCUGUCCGCUGCCUGCUUCCUCCCAGGAUUGCCUGGUUUCCCUCCAGGGUGGGGUCCCAGAAUGCCAGGCCAGGAAUGCCAGCUAUGUGGGGAGGGCGGGCGGGCAAGCGCCCGCGGGGGGCGUGAGGGAGCCGCCGGACGCUGUGCUCUCUUCCCCGGGAACACCGCGGGCAGUGAGCUGAGCCGGGCAGUGGGCUGGAAAGAUUGCAGCAGGCAGGACCCGUGGUGGAGGGAGCUCGGCUGCAGGAGCCCCACCUGCGAGCUGGGGCUGUUCUGCCCAUCGGACAGAUGGGCAAGCUGAGGCCAGCGAGAGUCAGCGGCCGAGCAGACCUUGAGCACAGGACCCCAAGCCCCGAGAACCUGCCCCAGGAUACAGCCGCAGACGGAAAGACUGAGGCUCAGAACAGACCUUAAGGGCGGCCUUCCUGAGGUCCGGGGCUGUCCCCAAGGCCCAUGCUGCCCACUGAACAGAGCCAAGAGUCCCAGCAGGGGAAGGAGAGGAGCAGACUUAACGCCAGGAGGACAGGCAGGAGCGCCGAGGCCACCGCCAGCUGUGCCCCCCCCCCCCCAGGCCUGCUGCUGGCUCUGGAGCUCAGGAAAGAGCCUCUUGCCACCUGCCGAUGGCUGGGAAGUUCUGGGCUGACCCCUGUCCACCUGAUGGAGACAAAGGGGGGGACAUGGGGUGGGUGGGCGUGGGGGCCAGCUGCCAUCUUCCCAGGUAUUUGCGGAGUUACUUCCUGGACAAGUGGACCCAGGCCCGCCUCUCUGGCUGAUCGCAGAUAAUUAGAACAUUCUUCAAAUAUUUUGCCGGAGGAUGCCCGAGAAGGAAGAAUUAGAAAGCGCCCCGGGCCAGGAGCGUGGGCCGCAGGAGCUCUGGGCAGCUGGGCAGCAGGGACCGGGACCGGGGAUGGGGCCUCCGAGGGAGACAGGGCAUCUGGCCCAGGCCUGGCCAGGCUGUCCCCACCUCCCAGGGAGCUGGGGCUGGGUUGGGCGUUCAAGUCCAAGGCUAACUCAGGGCUGGGGUGGGUGCUGGGCUACGUUGGGGAUUCCUGCCCUGGGGAACUCCCAGCUUGUGCGGGUGGAUAAGCCUUACCUUGAAGGGCUUUAGGAAAGGCCUGAGGGGGUCGAGCACUGAGUCCUGGCCCCCUGGGGGGCAGGUGGGCGAAGGUCUCUGGGAGGAAGGGCUCUGCCAUGGGGAGGUCAGUGGGUCUGGGAGGAGAGCAGAGGCGUGGGGGUGGAGUGAAGUAGGAGGAGCGAUAAGGGGGUGCCUGGGGCUGACCUCAUGGGUGGUCCCUGCAGCCCUGAUGGCUCAGGGAGGGUAGGGGCCUGGCUCGGGCUCCAGGCCUGCCGUCCUGCUGUAUGGGGCAGGGAGGAGGGUGACCCAGAGGGCAGAGGGGGCGUGGGGAAGCCCUUUCACAUCACCGCCAACCUUCCUAGAAGUGGUAGUCACCCCCUGAGCAGGGGAAAGGGGAUCCAGGGAGGGACAGCUAUCCCCUGGUGACCCCCUCUGGUUCCUGUGGCUUGUGGGGGAGGGGUCAGGGCUGUUGAGGUCCAGCAGGCUCCAUCAUGAGGUCUGAGUUCGGGGAAGCGCUUGGAUACUGCGUCACCCCCGUGGAGGGCUGCCCCGGUCCUAGCCUAGGGAACAUUCCCAGGAUUCUGUGGUCGGU